GCCAGAAAAAGAUAUACUUAUGUGAAUCUGAAAGCCAAUAAGAUAAAAGGCACAAUUUAAUAUCAAAGCAAUCAAAGAUAAACUUCUCUUUUUCCAGAAUGCUUUCAUGAACGACAGAAAUCCUAGCCAUGCAUAAAGGCAAACACUAUAAAUCAACUCAUAAUUUGAGGAAAUUGCUUAAAAAUGGAAUAAAUGCACAAGCAAAUGUGUGAUAUAAGUUUCCACAACCCCUUUUUAGUCUGAUUUUAUAUUUCUCAAUUAGGUUACCGAAUGCAAAAGAAUCUGUAUUUCAGUGGGACCAACAUAAAGAGAAAAGAUGUGCUUGAAAU
RNAcentral lists this unclassified non-coding RNA (329 nucleotides) under Hevea brasiliensis (rubber tree). Lineage: Eukaryota; Viridiplantae; Streptophyta; Magnoliopsida; Malpighiales; Euphorbiaceae. The record is from RNAcentral.